Molecule: long non-coding RNA, 300 nt
Organism: Trematomus bernacchii (emerald rockcod)
Lineage: Eukaryota; Metazoa; Chordata; Actinopteri; Perciformes; Nototheniidae
Exons: 3
Source: RefSeq, a predicted model, not a curated record
GAAGAUCAUAGGUCUGGUUUCGCACUUGAUAAAUGCUUACUGUUUCCUUCAGUUCUUUGAUGGUAUUGUGUGUGUGUGCACAGGCAUCUUCUUGGGAACAGGCAAACAGAAGAUUCCUGCUGUGGCCAACUUCCUUGGAUACUACGGCAUAGCACUUCCAAUCGGCGUUACUUUGACCUUUGUUGCAAAAAUGGGAAUAAUUGGUUUUUGGCUGGGACUACUCAUGUGUGUCAUUGUAUUAUCCACCUUCUACACCAUUGUCAUCUUCAAGCUCAACUGGAAGACAAUUACAGAGGAGGC